GUGGGAUGACGUCAAUCAUCAUGCCCCUUAUGACCUGGGCUACACACGUGCUACAAUGGUUGGUACAACGAGUUGCGAGUCGGUGACGGCGAGCUAAUCUCUUAAAGCCAAUCUCAGUUCGGAUUGUAGGCUGCAACUCGCCUACAUGAAGUCGGAAUCGCUAGUAAUCGCGGAUCAGCACGCCGCGGUGAAUACGUUCCCGGGCCUU
RNAcentral lists this ribosomal RNA (208 nucleotides) under uncultured Streptococcus sp. Its description in RNAcentral is "partial 16S ribosomal RNA". It matches the Rfam family "Bacterial small subunit ribosomal RNA", at positions 1174 to 1382 of the family's 1533-position model. The record is from RNAcentral. Lineage: Bacteria; Bacillati; Bacillota; Bacilli; Lactobacillales; Streptococcaceae.